AUGGCGGACCCACCUUCCCCCCGCCUAGACGAAGACGACACCUUCGGCCGCGACUUCAACGCCUCGCCCUCUCGCAACGCCGCACCCGCCCGUUCCGGCGAGAAGAGGCAGUUCGGCGAUCUGGAUGACGACGAAGACGAUGUCUUCGCUUCCAAGAAGGGAAAGACAAAGGUGGAGGAAAGUGCACCAGGUGCUGCCACGGGAAUGAUUCUGUCUCUCCGGGAAAGUUUGCAGACCUGCAAAGAGAAUCUUGAAUCAAACCAGGUGGAACUGGAAGCUGCUAAAUCAGAAAUCCAGAAGUGGCAUUCAGCAUUUCAGAACAUUCCUGCUGUACCUGCAGGAACCAAUCCAGAGCCUGUUUCGGUGGUUACUUAUCUCAAUAACCUGAAGUCGUCAGAGGAGUCACUGAAGGAGCAGCUGGAGAAAGCGAAGAAAAGAGAAGCUGCUUUUAUUGUAACAUUUGCAAAACGAGAACAAGAGAUUGCGGAAUUGAAGUCUGCAGUUAGGGACUUGAAAACACAAUUGAGGCCACCAUCAAUGCAGACAAGACGAUUAUUGCUUGAUCCAGCAAUUCACGAGGAAUUUACACGCUUAAAGAAUCUGGCUGAAGAGAAAGAGAAAAAGAUAAAAGAACUGCAGGAAAAUGUUGCCGCUGUCAAUUUUACCCCAUCCAGCAAACAUGGGAAGAUGCUAAUGGCCAAGUGUAGAACAUUGCAAGAGGAAAAUGAAGAGAUUGGGGCAAUGGCUUCUGAAGGAAAAAUCCAUGAACUUGGAAUGAAAAUUGCAGUUCUGAAGACCCAGAACAAUGAGCUCAGGAAUCAGUUCGAUGGGCUGUACAAACACAUGGAUGGCCUAACAAAUGACGUCGAGAGGUCAAAUGAAAUGGUUUCCAUACUGCAAGAGGAGUUAGAGGCUAAAGAUGUGGAGCUGGCAAGGUUAAAGGAGAUGCUUUCCCAAAAAGAGGCAACUGAAGACGACGCGGUCGUCGAAGAAAGAGAGGAAGCUGCAAAUGAUAUGAACGCUUCUUCUGAUCCGCAGCCGAUAAAAGCAGAGUCCUAA
RNAcentral lists this ribosomal RNA (1059 nucleotides) under Triticum aestivum (bread wheat). Its description in RNAcentral is "partial small subunit ribosomal RNA". The record is from RNAcentral. Lineage: Eukaryota; Viridiplantae; Streptophyta; Magnoliopsida; Poales; Poaceae.